RNAcentral lists this ribosomal RNA (722 nucleotides) under Mucor racemosus. Its description in RNAcentral is "eukaryotic LSU rRNA". It matches the Rfam family "Eukaryotic large subunit ribosomal RNA", at positions 38 to 667 of the family's 3401-position model. Lineage: Eukaryota; Fungi; Mucoromycota; Mucoromycetes; Mucorales; Mucoraceae. The record is from RNAcentral.
GCAUAUCAAUAAGCGGAGGAAAAGAAAAUAACAAUGAUUUCCCUAGUAACGGCGAGUGAAGAGGAAAGAGCUCAAAGUUGGAACCUGUUUGGCUUAGCUAAACCGGAUUGUAAACUGUAGAAACAUUUUCCAGAUACACUAGACAAAAAAGUCCUUUGGAACAGGGCAUCAUAGAGGGUGAGAAUCCCGUCUUUGGUCUAAGUAGUUGUCUAUUGUGAUAUGUUUUCAAAGAGUCAGGUUGUUUGGGAAUGCAGCCUAAAUUGGGUGGUAAAUCUCACCUAAAGCUAAAUAUUUGCGAGAGACCGAUAGCGAACAAGUACCGUGAGGGAAAGAUGAAAAGAACUUUGAAAAGAGAGUUAAACAGUAUGUGAAAUUGUUAAAAGGGAACCGUUUGGAGCCAGAUUGGCUUGAUUGUAAUCAACCUAGAAUUCGUUUUGGGUGCACUUGCAGUCUAUGCCUGCCAACGACAGUUUGAUUUGGAGGAAAAAAUUAAUAGGAAUGUGGCCUUUCGAGGUGUUAUAGCCUAUUAUCAUACUCUGGAUUGGACUGAGGAACGCAGCGAAUGCCUUUAGGCAAGAUUGCUGGGCGCUUUCGCUAAUAAAUGUUAGAAUUUCUGCUUCGGGUGGUGCUAAUGUUUAAAGGAGGAACCCGUUUAGUAUAUUUUUUAUUCGCUUAGGUUGUUGGCUUAAUGACUCUAAAUGACCCGUCUUGAAACACGGACC